Orbicella faveolata is the source of this 612-nucleotide long non-coding RNA. The record is from RefSeq and is a predicted model, not a curated record. NCBI's taxonomy places the organism in Eukaryota, Metazoa, Cnidaria, Anthozoa, Scleractinia, Merulinidae.
CAAAAUGCGCUGGUUUCCAAACGAGCGACGCCAUUGAGCUGGAAAGUUGUAAACAGAUAUAAAAUUAGUACCUCUUACGCCUAAUGAGGUUAAACACUUUGGUGGCUCUUUAGUUUUGUAUUUAAGAAUUUGAUGACGUCACGUGAAAGGCCAAAGAAGGAAUAUCCCACAAUACCCAUCGAUCGUCCAACUUGAGAAAAUUUCGCCUGUGGUUGGUUGGAGUUAAAAGGAUUCUCCAGAUAUUUGACUCUGAUGGUUAACUUCUUGCAGAUGAAAGUGCCAGGGAAAGGAAACAAGACAAAGUCAAGAGCAUGUCUCAUCAGAUGGUGGGACUGAUGGAAAAAUUUAACCUUCUUCCCUGUUAUUGAUAUCAAACAGAACACAGCAGCAGAUCAAAGCCGUCACGUACCAGUGCUGUGGGCCAUGAAGAGGAAGUGUACAUCAUUGCAACUUGAUAAAGGCUGUUUUCAAUCAUGGAAACAAUCUAGCAGUAAUUGUCUGGUAGGUUCAAUUUUUCUAAUAAUUAGAUUCUUCUUGCAUGCACGAUUUUAAGUAAACAGCACAUGUUUUUUGUCCCGUCCACACUACACUGGAAAAUUUGAAAAUGACAUU